This 626-nucleotide ribosomal RNA is filed under the name Salmonella enterica subsp. enterica serovar Oranienburg. RNAcentral's name for it is "partial 23S ribosomal RNA". It matches the Rfam family "Bacterial large subunit ribosomal RNA", at positions 711 to 1333 of the family's 2925-position model. Lineage: Bacteria; Pseudomonadati; Pseudomonadota; Gammaproteobacteria; Enterobacterales; Enterobacteriaceae. The record is from RNAcentral.
AGACCCGAAACCCGGUGAUCUAGCCAUGGGCAGGUUGAAGGUUGGGUAACACUAACUGGAGGACCGAACCGACUAAUGUUGAAAAAUUAGCGGAUGACCUGUGGCUGGGGGUGAAAGGCCAAUCAAACCGGGAGAUAGCUGGUUCUCCCCGAAAGCUAUUUAGGUAGCGCCUCGUGAAUUCAUCUCCGGGGGUAGAGCACUGUUUCGGCUAGGGGGCCAUCCCGGCUUACCAACCCGAUGCAAACUGCGAAUACCGGAGAAUGUUAUCACGGGAGACACACGGCGGGUGCUAACGUCCGUCGUGAAGAGGGAAACAACCCAGACCGCCAGCUAAGGUCCCAAAGUCAUGGUUAAGUGGGAAACGAUGUGGGAAGGCCCAGACAGCCAGGAUGUUGGCUUAGAAGCAGCCAUCAUUUAAAGAAAGCGUAAUAGCUCACUGGUCGAGUCGGCCUGCGCGGAAGAUGUAACGGGGCUAAACCAUGCACCGAAGCUGCGGCAGCGACACUCAGGUGUUGUUGGGUAGGGGAGCGUUCUGUAAGCCUGCGAAGGUGUGUCGUGAGGCAUGCUGGAGGUAUCAGAAGUGCGAAUGCUGACAUAAGUAACGAUAAAGCGGGUGAAAAGCCCGC